RNAcentral lists this long non-coding RNA (9426 nucleotides) under Zostera marina. RNAcentral describes it as "long non-coding RNA (ZMAR_LNC005257)". The record is from RNAcentral. Lineage: Eukaryota; Viridiplantae; Streptophyta; Magnoliopsida; Alismatales; Zosteraceae.
UUUGAGUGAUGGUUAGUUACUAAUUAUUAGUUAGUUGUUAAACUAAUAUGAUCGAUGUAUAAAUACUAAGUGUGGUUUUUAGUUCAUUCGAUGGUCUCAUUUAGCAUUGUUAACUGAGCCUACUGAACCGAAUAACUAACUGAAUAGUUUGUCGAAUACCGAACAUUUUUUACAUUAUUCUCAAAAUAAACAUGUCCAUCUUUGAAAAAUAAACAUUGUUUAUGAUCUAUUUUCUUUUGUUACGUCAAUCCUUAGUGAUAUUUCUUCUGGUUGAUUAAGAACAAGCAUGUCAUCUUCCUAAAGCCACGACAAAAACUAAAACCUUAGAAACUAAAAAAUUAAUAUAUAGUUAUAUUAAUGAAAAAUUAAAAAAAUAUACAUAAGUUAUUAAAUAUAUAAUAUAAAUUUAUAAUAAAAAGUUAUAUAAUAUAAGUUUAUAAUAUAAAUAUAAAUUAUAACAAAAAUUUAAACGAACCAAACCAUUCUACGAAUGUCAACCAAGGUUUGAGUUCAAUCCGUUUAAUUAAACGAAUCUAUUUUAAGGUUCGGGUUCGAUUCGUUUAAUAACCGAACCCGAACUGAACCCGAAAUGAACUGAAUGUGUGAAUCGUGCUUUCGACAUGAACCAAGCAACAAAUGUUUCCAACAAAACUUCUGCCAGUUCGUUGACCGAAUUUGUUCAAAAAAUGCAGCAGAUUCUGAUCCAAUCGGAUGUUCCCAUUCCUGCUAAGCAAUCUAAUUUUGGAGGAAGAUUACCGACUUUUGAAUGGAGGAAGAGAUUAUGUACUGCAAACCCUCUCUUCAUAAGUCGGUAACCUUCCUCCAAAAUUAGAUUGCUUGUAUAAGUUGACCAAUUGUCCCAUCACAACCCUAAAUAACUUCAAGAGUAAUCGAAACAUCAUAUUGGUAAAGAUCUUUCAUAGUAAGUUCUGCCACGAAAUGAUUAACCUUUACCAUACAUUUCGUACUGGUGUCGCCUUUGCCAUAAGAGAAGACGAUGCAUUAUAUUUAACAGGAGUGGGAACUUCCGAUUGGAUCAAAAUCUGUUGCAUUUUUGAACUAAUUCAAUCAACGAACUGUCAGAAGUUUUGUUGGAAACAUUUCUUGCUUGGUUCACGUCGAAAGCAAAGGCAGAAUGGACGGUAACUUGUAUUUCCUCGGUGUCCACUUGAAACUACAAUUCUAUCCCUAUUCCGCACCUGGUGAUGUUGAUAUCCCUAUUCCGUACUUGGUGAUGUUGAGGAGUCAUACUUACUUAAACUUCUUUCACUAAUAAAAUUAAACGAAGACCUUGAACUUGAUACUUCUGCAUUCCCAAUCUGGAUAUUUUAUUUACUUGGCAUUCUGGCUUUCCAUUUGAAUCGGUAGUCUUUGGAUGAUUUCUCACAUUUUCAAGAUCAUUAUGUGAAUUAUUCGUUUCUGGCAUAUUUUGGUUUCUGGCAUCUUUGUCAUUAGAAUCAUUUCUUUUCCUUUUCUUAAAUAUCCAUCCUUCAACGUUUGAAGUUUUGGAUUCAGCUUCUGGAAUUAACAUUUUCUAGAUUUUUAGUAUAAAUAAUUAAUGGUUAACAUAUGUUGCAAGAUAUUUUUAUUUUAGAAAAUAGAAAUAACCACAAAUAGAAAAAGAUAAUUAAUGGUUUCUAUAUUUUUUGAGGUUAAAUGUGGCAAAGCAUAUCAUCCCUUCAUUUUAUUGUAAAUUUUUCUCAAUUGUUUAUUUUAUAGAUUUGAUCAGCGGACGUUAAUUUUAAAUCAUUUAACCAAAUUAAAUUUUUUUUUCCAAUCCAAUUGUUCUGCCGAGGUGCCAUAUUUUUGUCUCAUAAUUUUUUAAAAUCAAAAUGAAUCUCUCCCAAAGGCCAAAGCCUUCCAAAAACCCAAAUAAUUACCUCGAUUCAAUGAACUUUCUGAUUUGUUAUAACCAUGAAAUAUUUGACCAUGAAUUAAGAGAUAUUUAACAAUAAUAAUUGAAGUUUGUAACUUCUGUUUAUAUUCUGCCCGAGCCACUGAAGAGUGUCAAUCGAAAUGAGUUUCAAUGUGUUGAUUUUGAUUCAUCAAAAAUUCACAUUUACUCUUUACAACAUUGUGAUGACUAUUAUCUCUCCCAACAUGUUGUUUCAAAUAUUCUGGUUUAUUUCAUUUAGAAAAACCUCUAGUUGCAAAACAUGAUCAAUCCAAAAGAAAAUAUAACAUCAAUGAUUAAAAAAAAUCAAUUAAGUUAUAAAAAAAUUAAUAAACAAAUUUUACUUAUAAGUAAAAGCAGUUUCAUUUAUUUCCGAGAAUAAAUAACAACAUAAACAGAAAACGACGUCUUUUGAAAUGCUAUCACUACAAGAAAUAAUACCUUGUAUGACGGUCUUAUUUGUAGUGUAUAUUUAAUUCAUGAUUCAUAUUUGUUAAACCACAAUACAUAAAAUCUUUUAAAUUGAUUUUUAACCUUUUUAAUGGAAAUUCAUGUUGGCGUGAUUGACAAGGUUUCUUUUGCAAAUAAUUUCUUCUUAUUUGAUCUCGGUCAUUUAGAUAGUAGUCAUUUAUCUUCUUUCGCAAUCUCGGAUCGGAAGGUAAUUUACUUACAUCGAGUGGCUCUUUAGAUGGUUAUGGAUUGGAUGAAGGAGUUGAAAUUGGUUAAUUUAAUUUAGGUCUUUUUGAUCACAAAUUUAUCCAUUGAUUAUCUAUGUAAAAAAAAGAUCUAAAUUAAUAUCAAAUUCAAAAAUAAGGAAUGUGGAUAAAAAAUACCUUUAUUCUUUUUCUUUGCAUGUAGCUAUAGUCACGUACUCACGUGAAGUGGAGAAAAAGAAAUAAAAAAUUAAAUGAAUGGUGUGGAGAUGGAGGAGGAGGAAAGAACGAAAAUUUUAAAUCUCUAGAUAUAGAUGGACAGUUAUGGGAAAUUAAGGAAUCUGAAGUGAAGUGGGCCUCAAAAGUGAAGAAAAAGCUUGCCAUCCUGAGGCAAAAGCUGGAGGCUUAUUUCAAGCUUCUGAAUGAAGGUGAAUCUAUAGAAGUGAAGAAAGAGGAUCAACCUCGUAACUCUGUUUCACUCUUUUCUCUCUGGUUUCUCCACCUCCAUGGCUGGAGGAGGUGGGGGAAGUGGCUCAAAAAGUGGAAAAGUUAAUCCCGAAUCUAGGGAUGGUGAAAACAAGAAGGGAGAUGGUCGGAGUGGGGAGAGAGGCGGAAGGAAGCAAAAUUCGAAAUUUUUGAAACUCAGAAUUGAUUACUGAGCACAUGGGUACUAGUUUCGAACUUGGGGAUGGCCGGAAUGGUAAAAGGCAAUCCAACAGUACAGUUAUAGCUAUUGAUAUUGCCGAUGGAAAUUCUGAUAGGUCUUGCGUCCCUACUGGGAGAGAUGAAUGUGACUCGGAAACUAUCCAGGUAAGAUCUAUAUUGAAUUCCGCUUCUAAAGGUACCGGAAAUGCAGGAUAGUCCCACCACAGCAUCCCUUAAUCGGGUGAACCAUGCAUGGGGUGACUAUUUGAGCCCAUAGAUUGACUUCUUCAAUCUGCAUAUAUGAUUUGGAAAAUUGCGGUUGAUGCAUGUAGACUUCCUCAUCAAACAUUCCAUGCAAAAACACGUUGGAGAUAUCUAAUUAGAUUACCGACCAUCCUUUGCUAACUUCCAACGCUAAUGCAAUCCUGACCGUGACUGGUUUGACCACUGGUGUAAAUGUUUGAUUGUAGUCAAUGUCGUCUCUCUGACGAAGAUUGUUUGCCACCAGGCGCGCCUUCCGUCUUUCCAGUGUGCCGUCAGGAUUAAAUUUGUUCCGAAAUACCCAUUUACAACUCAAAACGUUUUGAUACGGUGAUCGAUGUACCAACUCCCAUGUAUCGUUAUCAAUCAACGCCUCAUACUCCUUUUUCAUCGCCGCCGCACACUCCGGGUCCUCAAGGGCCUUGACGGCACAAGAAGUUUUGUAGUCGAUAUAUGACAAAUGUAUUUGGGAUUAGGUUUUCGUAUCCCAUUUCCUGCUCUCAUCACCAUCUGAUGCAGAGGAUGCUCCGAUAUAUGUGUGACCGGCGUAGAUUGCUGACCUGAAGAAGACCCAAUUCCCUGACUGAGGACCUCAUCAGUUGACUGGUCAAUGGAGUCAAUCGUCGUGUCAACUUGGAUAGAGUCUGAUUGAUCAAGUUGUGUUGAAUCUGAGUCUCCUUCCGCAUUAAUUUGGGUUGGACCAGGAACAUCCGAACCAAAGGAAUCUGAAAUGUGGUCAUGAGUGAACUCGGCUGAAUCAAGCAGUCUUUUAUUUUGACUGAAAUCCGUUUCGAAGAAGAUACAAUCUCUUGAAAUAACAAAUUUCUUUGACCGAGAAUUAUAACAUAAAUACCCCCGAUGGUUCUAUGGGUAACCUAAGAAGAUGUGGGGGUCUGAUCUGAAAGAAAAUUUAUUUUUGCGAAUUGGGCAUAAGUUUGGAUAUACAAGUCAUCCGAAUACCCGCAGAUUCGAAUAAUUUGGAGGUUUGCCGAACCAGACUUUGAAGAGCGAGUCGCCGACAAGCGUGGUGGUCAGAGUCCGAUUGUAAAGAAAACAUGUUGAAGCAAAUGCGUGAUGCCAGAAUCGGAGAGGAAUAUUGUCUUGAUGAAGUAGGGCCAGGCCAAUGUCCACGAUAUGUCUGUGACGUUUCUCAACACUUCCCAUCUGGGAAUGAGAAUACGGACAGGAAUAUCGAUGCUCAAUGCUGCACUCUGCCAGAUAUCCUCAGAACGAUAAAAAUUCCCCUCCAUUAUCCGUUUGCAGCGCUUUUAUCCUCAGAUCCGUCUGGUUUUCAACAAACACUUUGAAUAAUUUGAAUACAUUUAACGCAUCUGAUUUUGUUACUAGGAAAAAUAGCCAAUUGUGUUUCGAGAAACCAUCAACAAAGUUAACAAAAUAGAAAUGGCCUUCUAAAGAAGGCACUGGCGCCGAACCCCAAAGAUCCGCAUAAAUAACAUUAAGAAGAUUUGAUGAUGACUUGACCGGACGGGAAGGUGAAGGAAGACGAUGAUGUUUAGCCAUUACACAAGAUCGACAACUAAGAUCUUUAUUUAACAAAUUCACAAGAAGAUUAAAAGGUUUAACCACAUCUAAGGUUGUUUUUGGUGAAACAUGACCCAAACGACGAUGCCAGCGAUCCAUCGAGACCGAUUUCACCAGGUUGACCUCCGUUCUUACCCUUGUAUCAUUCAGAUCAAGUUUGUACAUCCCGUUCACCGCUUUGCCUUUCGCGACCAACUACUUACUCUGCAAAUCCAAUAGACAUACAAAGGAUUUAUCAAACCACAUACCAAAGUUGUUGUCAUUGCAAAGCCUGUAGACUGAUAACAAAUUUUUUGCCACUGAUAGAACUACAGAAAUAUCAUUGACAUGAAUAUCAUGAUUGUUCUUAGAAAAUACCAAAUCUCCAGCACCUUCAGCCGGUACAGGUGCGCCAUCUGCAACCACUAUACCGGGGUGGUUCGAAAUGGAUUUAGGUAGAUGAACAUAUCGAUGUUUACCUGAAAUAUGCCCUAUAGCAGCCGAAUCAGGAUUUCAGAGUGCAUUGAUCUCUGCCAGAGUAGCCUUAUUUGUCGCUUUGGUCGUCUGAGCUUUUGACGUACCCUGUGCUCCGGAAGCGUUGGAUAGAGGACCUCGUUAUACCUGUUAUGACAGACAAUUGCAACGUGUCUACGCUUCCCGUAGAUCUGACACAUCGGCCGCUCCCGAUCUCAUUUAGGAUUAAAUGCGACGGAGUUUCCCAAAAAGGCUGACUGAGAGCUUCGGACAUUCAGAUUUUUAAUUUCCUGAUUUGAGAGCAGGGUCCGAACUGUUGGCAGAGUCAUCGUCUUCAGUUGUGAAGAAAUCACUGCCACGAUUGCUUCAAAAUCAAUAUCCAAUCCACCAAGAAUAUAUAAAACCGUUUCUGCCGUUGAGAAGUGAACUCCAGCCGUCCUCAACGCAUCCAUCGAUAUUAUGACUUUGUUGAUAUAGGUAUUGAUGUCGAGAUCCCGUUUCUUCAUAGUCUGAAGUUGCUGCCUGAUUUAUAGAAUUCUGGAGCCAGAUGAAGACACGUACAAUUGUUGCUACUGCGCCCAAGCCUCAGCCGAAGAUUCAACAUUCGCGAUUUGCGUGAAAACGUCGGUGUGGAGCGUAGAGAAGAUCCAACCCAAAUGUAACUGAUCUUGCUUGAUUUUCAGAUCACAAUCAAGCUCGAUCUAUCCAUCGAUGUAUGAUAGAAGACCGUAACCUUAAAGAAGAGUCUUGAUCUGCGCCUACCAUGUGAAGAUGUUGUCAAAGGAGAGUUUUUCAGCUUGCUGAUACUUAAUCUUGACAGGCUUGAUCAAGGCGUCGCCGGAGAGAUUGAAUGUGUUGAUCAUCGCCGGAGAUCUACCUGGAAAGAGCCGAUCCAGAACCAAAAAACUAGCUAACUAAUACCAUAUUACGUUUACAAGAUCUCCCGAGUUGAUCUGUAUAUUUCAUUAUCCAUUCCUACCCACAUAUCUGUAUUUAAACUAAGUAAUAUAACUAAUUAUUGUUACAGCUAAUUUAACAAUAUUAUUAUUCUCUAAUACAUACGAAUUUUUUUUGUUUUGGAGGGGGGGGGGGCGCUGGAUUUGAUUGAAAACGAGUUUGGGUCACCCUGGACCUUGUAAAACUUGAAUAAACUUGAGUAGAAUGAUUAAGUCAACGAUCAAAUCAAGAAAUUGAAUAUAAGGGGGUUAAAAAUAAACUUAUCACUUAUGUAUUUAAUAUAUUAUAUAAGGUUAUUUAUAUGAAUUAUAUUAUAUAAAAUAUUAUAUAAGGUAUAAAUAUAAUUUACCCCGAGUACAGGUACUGGGAAUCCCCAUUCCCGUAUCCAAAAAUGGCAGGGGAUUUUCCAACUUUAGGUACGAUUUGAGUACAGGUACGGGGAAUCUCACCCCUAUGAAAGAUGGAUAUAAUUCAGAUAAUUAAUGGGUUGGCACGUGUAUAUGGUGUUGGCAGUAAUUUAAUAGAUGUCAUCGAGAUCUGUGCAAGACGAACUUCAAGUAAACGUUAUUCGUGGGUGACAUUUUCCAAACCAUAGAAUAGACAACGAGAGGGGUGGAUUGACUCGACGCAUUUUAGAAAUUAAUUCAUAAAAAAAAUACAAUGACAUUAUUAAAAAUAAAAAAGUGAAUGUGUAGUGAUAUGCACGAAGCAGAAACUCGCGAAUGUGCAGUGAUAUGCACAAUCUGCAGGAACUCGAGCCGGAUAUGCACGAUCAGCAGAAACUCGAUGAGCGAUCAACGGCGAUAUGCACAAUCGACCUAGCGAAUGAUAUCAUAUGUGAAACUGAAAUUGGUUUUUCAAUUACAAUAGCACUCUAUUUAUAGGUAUUACAAUCGGUUAUGAUUUAAUAAUAAACCGAUAUAAGACUAUGUUUAUAUUGUUAUCUAUUAACCGAUGUACGACUAUAUAUUGUUAUCUAUUAUACAGAAGAUCAAAAUGUGGACAUCUUUACAAAAGGUUUAUCAAUUGAAAAAUUCAACAAGUUUUAAACAUUGAUGAUUUGGGGUCACGGUCUUAAGCUAAGUUUUAUUUUUCUUUAUUUUUAUGUUUAUAUUGUUUGUUAAUGUUUUGUUGAAUAGAAUUGAAUAAUGUUUAUGUGAACAUUUAUUAAAGUAAAUUUAUUCUGUUUGUUGUAUGAUGGACAAAUUAGCACAAGAGUAUGUAAAGGAUUUAAAAAAGAAUCUUGAGGCUAAUCUAAGCUUGAGAGAAAAGUAGUAGACCUAAAGGUAGAGUUUUCCCAGAACAACCAGCCUUUGGGUUUUUUACCCUCCUUUUGCUUUUCUACCCAUAGCAUUGUGUACUUUGGACUACAGAACAACCAGAAUGGAUUACGAAAUCAAAGUCAAUCUUUCAUAAGAAUCUAUAUACAACUUGUUUUUGAGUGGAAGUAUGAGAUAUAAUAAUAAAUAUUUAUAGGUAGUUGUGCAUGUGGAUAUUAGUUAUAGUUAGUGAUGGUUAGUUACUAAUUAUUAGUUAGUUGUUAAACUAAUAUGAUGUAUAAAUACCAAGUGUGGUUUUUAGUUCAUUCGAUAGUCUCAUUUAACGUUGUUAACUGAGCCUAUUGAACCGAAUACCUAACUGAAUAGUUCGUUGAAUACCGAACUUUUUUUACAUUAUAUUAAAAAUAAACAUUAAAAAAAAUAAACAUGUCCAUCUUUGAAAAAUAAACAUGUCCAUCUUUGAAAAAUAAACAAUAAAAAACAUUGUUUAUAAUAUAUUUUCUUUUGUUAAGUCCAUCUUUAGUCAUCUUUUUUUCUUGUUGAUUAAGAACAAGCAUGUUAUCAUCCUAAAGCCACGACAAAAACUAAAACCUUAGAAACUAAAAAAUUAAUAUCUACUAUAUUAAUGAAAAAUUACAAAAAUAUACAUAAGUUAUGAAAUAUAUAAUAUAAAUUUAUAAUAAAAAGUUAUAUAAUAUAAGUUUAUAAUAUAAAUAUAAAAUAAUAAAAUAUAACAAAAAUUUAAACGAACCGAACCAUUCUUCGAACUUCAACCAAAGUUUGGUUUCGAUUCGUUUAAUUAAACGAAUCUAUUUUAAGGUUCGGGAUUGAUUCGUUUAAUAACCGAAUCGAAUCGAAUCGAACCGAACCCGAAACGAACAGAAUAGUUCGUCCGAACUUUUAUUUCAACUCUACUCUCAUUAGAUCUACAACAAUAUGAUGUUUUAAUUGCUCUUAAAUUUACUUCAUGUGGCGUGAAUUGUGUUUUCGACAUGAACCAAGCAAGAAAUGUUUCCAACAAAACUUCUGCCAGUUCGUUGACCGAAUUUGUUCAAAAAAUGCAGCAGAUUCUGAUCCAAUCGGAUGUUCCCACUCCUGCUAAGCAAUCUAAUUUUGAAGGAAGAUUACCGACUUUUGAAUAGAGGAAGAGAUUAUGUACCGCAAACUCCUUCAUAAGUCGGUAACCUUCCUCCAAAAUUAGAUUGCUUGUAUAAGUUGACCAAUUGUCCUAUUACAACCCUAAAUAACUUCAAGAGUAAUCGAAACAUCAUAUUGGUAAAGAUCUUUCUUCGUAACUUCUGCCACGAAAUGAUUACCCGUUACCAUACAUUUCAUACCGGUAUCGCCUUUGCCAUAAGAGAGGACGAUGCAUUAUGUUUAACAGGAGUGGGAACUUCCGAUUGGAUCAAAAUCUGUUGCAUUUUUAAACUAAUUCAGUCCACGAAAUGUCAGAAGUUUUGUUGGAAACAUUUCUUGCUUGGUUCACGCCAAAAGCAAAGGCAGAAUGGACAGUAACUUGUAUUUCCUCGGUGUCCACUUGAAACUACAACUCUAUCCCUAUUCCGCACGUGGUGAUGUUGAGGAGUCAUACUUACUUAAACUUCUUUCACUAAUAAAAUUAAACGAAGACCUUGAACUUGAUACUUCUGCAUUCCCAAUCUGGAUAUUUUAUUUACCUGGCAUUCUGGCUUUCCAUUUGAAUCGGUAGUCUUUGGAUGAUUUCUCACAUUUUCAAGAUNNN